Molecule: long non-coding RNA, 263 nt
Organism: Zonotrichia leucophrys gambelii
Lineage: Eukaryota; Metazoa; Chordata; Aves; Passeriformes; Passerellidae
Exons: 3
Source: RefSeq, a predicted model, not a curated record
GAAACCCUGCUGUUGAGCUGGGAAGCAACUCUGUACAAAGAAGCUGAAUGUACACAGUGCCAAACAUCACCUGAAAACUUUAUUGCUGCUGUCAGCAACUUCUCUACUAGUUCAGUUUGAGAGAGCACAAACAGAGGAAAAUCAGAUAAACCCAAUAAAACAACCAGGGCUUCAGGACUGCCUCAGUUGAAAUCUGUGCCAGGAAACGAUCUUGAUGUCACCCGGAGAAGAUUUAGGCUGCAACAUUUCUUUAUUCAGAAGAG